CCUACGGGAGGCAGCAGUGAGGAAUAUUGGUCAAUGGGCGCAAGCCUGAACCAGCCAAGUCGCGUGAGGGAAGACGGCCCUACGGGUUGUAAACCUCUUUUGCCGGGGAGCAAGCCUGAGCACGUGUGCCCAGGCGGAGAGUACCCGGAGAAAAAGCAUCGGCUAACUCCGUGCCAGCAGCCGCGGUAAUACGGAGGAUGCGAGCGUUAUCCGGAUUUAUUGGGUUUAAAGGGUGCGCAGGCGGGCUGUUAAGCCGGCGGUAAAAAUUCAGGGCUCAACCCUGUCGAGCCGUCGGAACUGGCAGUCUUGAGUGGGCGAGAAGUAUGCGGAAUGCGUGGUGUAGCGGUGAAAUGCAUAGAUAUACGGAGGAACACCAGUGGCGAAGGCGGAUUGCUGGACAGUAACUGACGCUGAGGCGCGAAAGCGUGGGGAGCAAACAGGAUUAGAUACCCGAGUAGUC
Molecule: ribosomal RNA, 460 nt
Filed under: uncultured bacterium
Lineage: Bacteria
Description: partial 16S ribosomal RNA
Rfam family: Bacterial small subunit ribosomal RNA
Source: RNAcentral